This 253-nucleotide ribosomal RNA is filed under the name uncultured bacterium. Its description in RNAcentral is "partial 16S ribosomal RNA". It matches the Rfam family "Bacterial small subunit ribosomal RNA", at positions 524 to 776 of the family's 1533-position model. The record is from RNAcentral.
UACGGAGGGUGCAAGCGUUAUCCGGAUUCACUGGGUUUAAAGGGUGCGUAGGAGGGCAGGUAAGUCCGUGGUGAAAUCUCUGAGCUUAACUCAGAAACUGCCAUGGAUACUAUUUGUCUUGAAUAUUGUGGAGGUAAGCGGAAUAUGUCAUGUAGCGGUGAAAUGCUUAGAUAUGACAUAGAACACCAAUUGCGAAGGCAGCUUACUACACAGUUAUUGACGCUGAGGCACGAAAGCGUGGGGAUCAAACAGG